RNAcentral lists this small RNA (107 nucleotides) under Marmota monax (woodchuck). The record is from RNAcentral. Lineage: Eukaryota; Metazoa; Chordata; Mammalia; Rodentia; Sciuridae.
GCUGGGCAUGGUGGCACUUGCCUGUAAUCCCAGCAACUGGGAAGGCUGAGGCAGGAGAAUCACAAGUUUGAAGCCGGCCUGGGAUACCUGGGGAGAUCCAGUCUCAA